This 446-nucleotide ribosomal RNA is filed under the name uncultured Anaerolineaceae bacterium. RNAcentral describes it as "bacterial SSU rRNA". It matches the Rfam family "Bacterial small subunit ribosomal RNA", at positions 336 to 798 of the family's 1533-position model. Lineage: Bacteria; Bacillati; Chloroflexota; Anaerolineae; Anaerolineales; Anaerolineaceae. The record is from RNAcentral.
CGCCUACGGGUGGCUGCAGUAGGGAAUAUUAGUUAAUGUGCGAAAGCGCGAACUAGCAACGCCGCGUGUGCGAUGAAGGUCUUCGGAUCGUAAAGCACUUUUCGAGAAGAUGAGGAAGGACAGUACUCUCGGAAUAAGUCUCGGCUAACUACGUGCCAGCAGCCGCGGUAAAACGUAGGAGGCAAGCGUUAUCCGGAUUUACUGGGCGUAAAGCGCGUGCAGGCGGUUUGGUAAGUUGGAUGUGAAAGCUCCCGGCUCAACUGGGAGAGGUCGUUCAAAACUACCAGACUUGAGGGCGGUAGAGGGAAGUGGAAUUCCGUGUGUAGUGGUGAAAUGCGUAGAUAUACGGAGGAACACCAGUGGCGAAAGCGGCUUCCUGGACCGAUCCUGACGCUCAGACGCGAAAGCUAGGGGAGCAAACGGGAUUAGAUACCCGAGUAGUCUUG